Molecule: long non-coding RNA, 637 nt
Filed under: Nicotiana benthamiana
Lineage: Eukaryota; Viridiplantae; Streptophyta; Magnoliopsida; Solanales; Solanaceae
Description: long non-coding RNA (NBEN_LNC024097)
Source: RNAcentral
GCGACAAUUAUGACCUCUCGAGAGAAUCCACGACUGCAAUUACGACUAACUUUUAUUGGAUUUCUUUUCCAAUUCAAAGCUGAUAGUUGCCUAAUGCAAACGUUACCAGAGACGGACAUUUUCUACCACCACAAGACAACCCAACAAAGCGAAAAAGAGAAAUGUUACACCACAUCAUAUAUGUACAUAUCAUGCAUGCAACCUAAGCCAUCACUUCUCACAUUUUACAAAUUAAUAGAAGUAGCUCUUUGAAGAUCUUCAAUCUACUGACCUCAAGAAUUACUGAUUCUAACAGAUUAGAUAAUGAGAUUGAAGUUUACGUAAAUCAAGUGUCACAUCUUCUGUCAGUUUAUGUAUCUUCAAGCUCUAAGGUGGCAUUGAAUCCAAAUUCAGUUCCAACAGUAAACGAUGAUUUGAGUUCAUCGGCAGUUUGGGUGGUGCUAAUCUUGUUAUCCUUCACUGACAAGUUCUCCUGUAGAAUUCUACUGGCCUCAAGAAUUACCGAUUCUAACAGAUUAGAUAAUGAGAUUGAAGUUUACGUAAAUCAAGUGUCACAUCUUCUGUCAGUUUAUGUAUCUUCAAGCUCUAAGGUGGCAUUGAAUCCAAAUUCAGUUCCAACAGUAAACGAUGAUUUGAG